Molecule: ribosomal RNA, 253 nt
Filed under: uncultured prokaryote
Description: partial 16S ribosomal RNA
Rfam family: Bacterial small subunit ribosomal RNA
Source: RNAcentral
UACGGAGGGUGCAAGCGUUAUCCGGAUUUACUGGGUUUAAAGGGUGCGUAGGUGGAUUAGUAAGUCAGGGGUGAAAUCUUCAAGCUUAACUUGGAAACUGCCUUUGAUACUAUUAGUCUUGAAUAUCCUGGAGGUGAGCGGAAUAUGUCAUGUAGCGGUGAAAUGCUUAGAUAUGACAUAGAACACCAAUUGCGAAGGCAGCUCACUACGGGAUCAUUGACACUGAGGCACGAAAGCGUGGGGAUCAAACAGG